UGGGAGGUGGUGUAAUUGGCAGCACUACGGGUUUUGAUCCCGUCAGUACGGGUUCGAGUCCUGUCCUCCCAGCCA
RNAcentral lists this transfer RNA (75 nucleotides) under Acidimicrobiia bacterium. Its description in RNAcentral is "tRNA-Gln". It matches the Rfam family "tRNA". From Rfam's summary of the family: Transfer RNA (tRNA) molecules are approximately 80 nucleotides in length. The record is from RNAcentral. Lineage: Bacteria; Bacillati; Actinomycetota; Acidimicrobiia.